This 253-nucleotide ribosomal RNA is filed under the name uncultured bacterium. Its description in RNAcentral is "partial 16S ribosomal RNA". It matches the Rfam family "Bacterial small subunit ribosomal RNA", at positions 524 to 776 of the family's 1533-position model. The record is from RNAcentral.
UACGUAGGGUGCAAGCGUUGUUCGGAUUUACUGGGCGUAAAGGGCGCGUAGGCGGCAUGACAAGUCACUUGUGAAAUCUCCGGGCUUAACUCGGAACGGUCAAGUGAUACUGUCGCGCUAGAGUGCGGAAGGGGCAAUCAGAAUUCUUGGUGUAGCGGUGAAAUGCGUAGAUAUCAAGAGGAAUACCUGAGGUGAAGACGGGUUGCUAGGCCGACACUGACGCUGAAGCGCGAAAGCCAGGGGAGCAAACGGG